CGAGAAACUGGCGGAGGUUUCGAGUGCGCCUGCGCCUUUGGCACGUUUCAUCUUGACCCUGUUGGGGGUGAUGCUGAGGUCUUUCGCCAUCUUGUUUCUGUGUGUGACACACCAGCGUGCUAGAAUAAUAAAACGCUCUUGCUGAUUGCCUACGUGGAUGGUGCUCUUUUGCGGGACUCUCCGGGACCUUAACACCAGGAAGAGGAGAUAAAAGAACAGCCAGCCAAGUGUGAUGUAACUGGGUUUGUCGGGGCCUAAAAUGAGAGCUUGAAGCUGCCUGCAGUGGCUGCCAACUACUGUGCCAGAAUGUUCAAAUCCUCCCCCAAAGAGAUGUACUUGUUUGGGGUCUGGAGAGAUGGCUCGGUGCUUAAUAACACUCACUGACUGGUCUUUCGGAGACCCCAAGUUCUAGUCCCAGACCCUACACGGUGGCUCACAGUGGUCUUCUGAUGUUCUGGCCUGCACUGGAUGCAUAUGGUGUGCAGACAGACAUACAAGCAAGACACCCAUAUAC
Long non-coding RNA from Alexandromys fortis (reed vole), 514 nucleotides. RefSeq lists it as uncharacterized. The transcript is spliced from 3 exons. The record is from RefSeq and is a predicted model, not a curated record. NCBI's taxonomy places the organism in Eukaryota, Metazoa, Chordata, Mammalia, Rodentia, Cricetidae.